AUAGCAAUAUCCUUAACAGACACCAGAGCGCAUGUAAUAAAGGGCAGUCCAACAUAUGGGCUUAUUAGUAGACGUGAUCUUAUACCUUUCAGCCUCUCCUAGCUGGGCCGUGCUGAAAGGAAACAGCAUCUUUCAGCCGAUUUCUCAUGGUUCUCGGCUUCAUCUGUUUGCCUUUGAUUCCGCAGUUAAGCUAAUUUGAUAAUGUGGUCUGCCUGGGAAGGAAGGGAGUAGAAGAAAUUGCCUAUUAUCCUUGGCUCCGCUCCAGGCAGUGUUUUUGCUAGGAGGCAUGGAGGUCAGAAAUGGGUGGGAAGCUUUCUCCGACAGCAAGUCCUUUCACAUGCUGGAUUCGCAGGGAGCCGCUCAUCCUCAUGAAACGCUUGGCGCUGGGGCCGGCAGGAGCUUCAGGGGCUUUGAAAUGGGCCGGGAGCCUUUUCCUGUGAGCGGCUCCUGUUUCAGGAGGCCUGGUGUGAAAACUGUCACCUGCAUCCGCUUCUUCACCUGGGGGCACAAAGCUGGGAGUUCCCAAGGGAGAGUCUAGGGCUUUGGGCCAGAAGAAGCCUCUUGGAGUGGCUGGUUUUCACCACGUCCUCCCGCCCCAUGCAGGAGCUCUAAGAUACCCACGCGUCUCCCCUGCAAAUUUGCUAGGGAGCAAUGCACUAUCCGCAGUGACCCUGGUGACUCGGGGUCUUCCGCCCCUGCCCUGCGCACCGCUGUGCAUCUUUCUCUGGUUGCUCUGCUGGGUGUCUGGAAGGAUGUGCCCUCCCAUGCGGCCCCGGUGUGAAUCGACCCUUUCCCAUGAGACUGCCCCUCACAACGUGUGGAUCCCAGGAACCACGCGGUGCCCUCAGCGGGGGCUCUGGGAAGGAUGGAGCGUGGCCAGGAAGCAACUGGAUGCCUCCAGCCACAGGGAGUGGGAAACCCAGACAGUCACACAUGAGAAACGCAUCAACCCGUGCCAGGCAGAUCCUGUACCAUUUGGCUCAUCUUUGGGGUCUCCGAGGCUGUCGAAGAUGGGAGCCAGACCCUGCCUUUAUUGCUGCUAAUUUUACUAUUGACUUUGCUGAGAGCAGACAAGGACCCUUAUGGACCAAAUGUGCCCCAUCACACCAUGCAGAAGAAACUUGGGACUUUCCACAAACAAAGUCGAAAAGGGCCAAGGAAUUUUCUUUCCAUUUUUUUUAACGAAGGGUUCAAACAAGCCUUUCCUGCAAUGAUUUGGACUGUUUCUUUUGAGACUAUUUCUUCUGUUUCUUUUGACUGUCCCACGUUCCACUAGGAAACCAUCAUCAGUUUGGGUUUUUUUAUUUUAUCAAGAACAUGGAAGCGUUUCACAUGACCUGCAAGGUUUGGUGCAAAAAAGGGCCCAUUUCAUUGAAAACAAAAUGUAUUUCCUGGGGAAAUUUCAACCAGCUUUAGUGCUAUAUAAAAACUCCCAAGUCUCCAGCACCCAUUGCUCUUAAAACCAAGGUGGCAUGCAGGUCAGUGGCUCUGUCACGGCUUUGGUUUGCGCCUGGGCAAAACACAUAACCACUCAUUAUUGCUUUUUUCCCCUCUCUGAAGUGGUCUACAUCAGCUGCUUCUCUGACUUCUGUGGCCUUCCAGUACCGCCGAUAACACGCAAAACCAAACCUCUUCCACAGUCUGUGUAUGAGCCAGAAUGUGAACAUCUGAAUGUCUAGGAACACCCUUCCCUUGAGAAAUAAAUCCUCAGCCAGUGACAACAAACAUCCAUGUUGGAGUACCUAUUUCCUGCUUGUUAAUACAGCCCUGAGAAAGGAGGGAAUGUGUCAUUUGUUUCAUUGAUGUCAAUAAGAGCUGCUGAGUAGAGCAAAGAGGACUGCCCUCCCCUUCUCCUGAUGACUUCUGGACAUUCGGUUUUAAAUGUGACGCAUAUUUUACGACUCAGAACUGCUUUGGGCCAGGGCGAUCCCCCCGCCGGGAUCUGCACUCAAUGCACAAGCACCGCAGUGAAAUCCCACGCCUCCCUGAGUGCCUCUCCCACCCCUGUCCCUAAUGCUUGAGGGAAAUGUUAUUAUUGCACCCAUUUUACAUGCAGAAAAAGAGCACCCAGGAGCAACCCCACCGUAACAAACCCGCAUGGGCAACGCAGCGAGGGCAAGGCCCUUUCCACACCCACGCCUGCCUCGCUGUUGGGACAGAGGGGAGGUGAUUGCACUGUGCACCCUGCGGUACAGCCUGUACUCUGAGGUGUGCAGCCCUGGGCAGUUCUGGCUGUAAAUCAGAGCACUGCUGGCAACUCAUGAUGGCACAGAGUCUUUCUACACACCGCAGCCCCACCCCAGGAUGGGCUGCAUCGAGGCCACGGGAUAGACCUAAGUAUGAAAAAAUAAUGGUUGCACGCUUCCCCAUCCCUUUGAACCUUGUCCCUUUCUGCAGGAGGAGGAAGAAAAUUAGGGGCAUCACGAGUUCUCAGAAAGUCAGUCCGUUAGCCAUGGCCCAGCCUUGGGUACAGGACCUGCCUCCAAAGCACUCACCAGGACUAAGGAAACUAUUAUCAAGUAGCAUGUGCAUGCAAUGUCUUUUUAAGACAUGCUGCUGCUGCUGCAAAAAAGGAGUGUGACUAGUGCUGUUUGCAAGACUCGCUGUUCAAAUUCCUCCAGUCAGCGCUGGCAAAAACAAAAAAAAACCAGAAACAGGACUUAAACUAUUGCAAGUCCAGCCACAUGUCUCCCUUACCCUUGGGAAUCGCAGUACAAUCCCAUUAUGGGACAGCUUUGGCUCAGAUCGUUUCACAUCGGCAGCUUCUCUAUAACUGGCUGCAGUAUUUUUAUCAGCUCAGACUUUCCGGGAUGACCUACUCACUUCAAUUCUUGCUUAACAACUUACAUUGCUUUUAUAUAUGUGAGUGCAUGUGCAUGUAUCGUCAGAGCGAUAGCUGCAGGUCAGCGGUGCUUGUGGUUUUCAAAAACAGUGGGCAGAGGACUGCAGGACUAGGCAUGACUGGGAGAGAGCAAGUAAAACCCAGUUUGAUGUCUGUCUUUUCAUUCCUACUUUUUUUUUGACCUGUGUAUAUAUAAGAGCAAAACAUGGAUUGGGAUGAUAAAGAGAUGGAAGUGACAUGAAGAAACAGACAUGCCCGUUGCUCAUGCGGCUGGUAGCUCUGCUGGUUGUAUUUAACAGGCAUUUGCCAUAAAAAAGCCUGUUUUUAUUUAAAUAGCCCAAGGCAGAUUUCUCACUAAACCAACUUUCCCACGCCAGCCCAGUGCUCUAACUCUGGUUUUGGCAAAUUUUUUCCUGAGCUGUCAAGGCAAAAUAUAUAUAAGAAGGCUGGUCUCACUUAGGGUUUUUUUUUUUUCCAGCCCCUGGAGACAUGAAAAUAAUUUACAGAUGUGCAUUACCUGUUUAUAUUUGUAUUAAGUUUUGCUUAGUGCACAUCAUUUUCCUAGCUUGCAGUAACAAAAAAAAUUCCCAGGGUUUCACUCAUUUAAUUUUAACUUAUUAAAAUGUUUAAAGGUAUUAUGUGGGGUUCUCCUUCCUUCUGAAAGAAAACUACUUGUAUGGACACUUGCCAGUGUUUCUAUUAAAGCAGUUUUACAAGCAUCACGUUAAAGCGUACCUAAAAUCCCAUUCCUUUAGCCCAAGAGACCAUUCCAAAUAAACACUUUCUUUGGAGCUUUGUUAUAGUCACCCACAACUUUUUCAAUUUAUUAUAAAAGUAUUUUCAUGUAGUGUUUAA
Long non-coding RNA from Alligator mississippiensis (American alligator), 3697 nucleotides. RefSeq lists it as uncharacterized. The record is from RefSeq and is a predicted model, not a curated record. NCBI's taxonomy places the organism in Eukaryota, Metazoa, Chordata, Crocodylia, Alligatoridae. The transcript is spliced from 2 exons.